This 4591-nucleotide long non-coding RNA is filed under the name Spirodela polyrhiza (greater duckweed). RNAcentral's name for it is "long non-coding RNA (SPOL_LNC001040)". The record is from RNAcentral. Lineage: Eukaryota; Viridiplantae; Streptophyta; Magnoliopsida; Alismatales; Araceae.
GUUUUGAGCGGCUGCUUCGAGGAUUUCUGUGGCGCCGUGGUAAGAGAGCUCCUCGAGGUUUUCUCCAAUUAUUUGAUUACGUGUCUGCCUUGGAUUCUUGGUUUCUCAAUUGGAAUUUUUGUUCUGAUCUCGUUUCACUUUAUUCACGGUGAUUUACCUUCUGAUCUUCUAGAGUGCAUGGUUUGGAGAGUUGGUUUAGGGUUUUUGCUUGCGGUUGGGUCGUUUACUUGGUGCUUCAGUUCUUUUCACCCGUUACAUUGUGAAAUUCUGUUUGCGUGCUAGCUUUUUGUUUUGUACCCCUCUUAAGCUGAAAUAUUGACUCUUCAAUAUUUUGUCAAUUGCAUCAGCCCAACGACAAAUAGUAAUGCCCGUCUAUGGGUUUGCUUAUAAUUGUACUCUUCAUAACGGCUAGCAAAUAAAUCUGGCAUUAACCUUUCCUUUUUUUUACUUGCGUGACACCUGGAUACGCAAUUGCACAGGGCUUUUUUCUCCUUUCUUUUUCUACUCUGGAAAAUCUGUAGUGCUCUUGAGAACGAAUUCUAGGGGUUCAUAGAUCUCACUUAUAAUAUGCACCUGCACGACCACGCAUAUUGUACUGAUCUUAAUUCGACACGUGCAUUGGCUACUAUGACAAUCUGAUAUUUCCAUUUUGUUUCAAAUACCGCUAUAAAAAUUUUAUUGUUUGUGAUUUAUGUGUGUGUGGUGAACAUUAUUGUUGUUUGUUAUGUGCUUGGCUGUACUAUGACGCUGACCAACAAGUUUAUUGUGGCGAACUUUAUACAGACCAAGCUAUGCAUGGUGAUCACUACUCUAUAAUAAUUAUCUUUGACUUCUUCUGUGCAUCAAAAAAUUUCACUCAUUCUUAAAAUGUCUUGGUAUAUGGACAAAGCUUCACGCAACUUCGAAUUUACUAUCUUUCUUCAUGUCCUCAUCUAUCCUCCAAUGAAAAAACCAUGGAAAUAUUCUUUUAACAACUCUAUUGAACCAGGAUCAUAUAUGCUUGUUCCAAGGAAAAUUAGAGUGGGCGACAGUGUUUAGAGGCAAAUUUUCAAAUUUGUUCACGUUUCCUAAACUUAUGCAUUUCUUUCUCUGUUUGAGUAAUUCUGCGUUGCGGUUCAAUUAGGACUGUUAAAUGGAAACGUGACCAAUGGUUGACAAACCUAUGCAUUUGCCACUGACUAGCUUUACAAGGCAUCUUUCUUAUCAUACGUUUAAAAAAAAGAAAAAGAAAAAAAUCAACUUCGUAAUGGUAGUACUGUCAGGCGUUUCGGAAGAGCUUCACGGUGGACAAUACUUAUCAUGUAGUUCAAAUUUGAAACUUUUUGCGGUCUACAUUCCUUCUUUUUUAACGUGAAUGGGGAUUCCUAGCAUUUUGCAUUUUUAUACAAUGAAUGGUUUGAAAAGUAUAUUCUAGAAAUGGAUGAAUAAUGGAGAAGAAAAUGUUUGUUCAUUGGAAAGAGAAAUGAUCUUUUUGGAUGGUUCCUUGUUAGUAUACAUAUGCCUGGAUGUGUAGGGAUCGAGUUCUUGUUUGGGGAACUGUUUUGAACCAGGAGAUGUUCACUUUUUGCAAACAUGAACUAGUCAUGUAUAUAGGGUGAUCCCUUCUUCCAAGUGGGUGACUCUGUUAUUAUACUCUUGCUGUUGUUGUCUCUUCUUCCAUGCUAAAAAGGAGCGGAGAGAAGAGCAAGAGUGGGAGCCCAGGUCUAUAACGAAAGUGUGGUGUGUGUGCUGCUGAAGUGUGCGGCUGUGCGAUAGACAAGGCAAUUUCUUAGUGAUUCUCCAACACAGUAGCUCAGGUGAUCACCUUACACUAUAGCCUUGAGGGCCAACAAGGAAGAUGGGAGACGAUUAGAGUAUCUGCUGGUUAAGAAAAGUCAUUCGCACCCGAUCUUGCUGGAUGCUUCCUAUUUAGAUGCUAAAAAGUGUUACAUGUUUAUGAAUAUGGCUCAAGUUGUGCAGUUUUUUAUGGAAGAUCUUCAGACAACUUAGGACAUCUGAACGAGCUUGAGAUGAGGGUCGCAUUCCUUCUUUAAAAAGUUUCUUGCGAGUAGAAAACAGGAAAAACAUGUGCAAAUAAGAAACGAGAAGAAUACAAGCCAAAGGUGAUAAUGAAUUCAGGAAAUGCGUAAAUCUUGGGGUGAUGAUCUCUUUCAUAGUAAAAGCGUUUCCAAGGAAUCACUAAGGCAACGCCAAGACACUAGACUCUAGCACUGUGAAUGUGAGUGCCUGCUUAUGGGAAUAGAUUUGCUUCUGAGCAUUUGCUCAAACACAAAGCCUUUCAUUGCUUAUGGUACGAGGUAUUUGGUUGCAGAUAAAGCCAAACACGCAUAUAUAUGUAGCAUUAUUAAACAUAUAUUAUAAAUAGUUAUAUUUAAAUAGUUUAUUUAUAUUUAACGUUACUAGAUUUAGUACAAAUUCUUGAAUGAAUGUCAUUAUUUUUGUUGUUUCUAGUUUCUUCCAUCCGUGAAUUUGUGGUAAUUUUUAUUUUGUAACUUUAGUGUCAUUAUUUUAUUUCUUAAAUAUCUGUUGACUGUUUUGAAUUGUUUUUUGUACAUUUAAAACAAAGUGUUGGCUUGUCUUCAGGCGUAUGGUGAUGACAAAAAGAACCUUAAGUGCUUUGAUCACUGUUUUAACCUGUUUAAUCACGUUUCAUCUUUCUUUGUUAACUCUUUUCUUUGAGAUAAAAGCAAGAGAACGGUGAGGAAACACAUAAAGAAAGUUAUAACUGUUUCAUACUGGACGUAUAUUCAUUUAAACCACAUAAAACUUUAUAUUUCUUUUUAUUUACUUUUAUGACGGCUUCCUUCCCCAGCCAUCCUCAACACCCGCUGCCCCAGAAAGAAGGGGAAAAAAAACCUGGCAUGGAUACACUUAGACUGUUUGUUAGGUAUGGUUUCCAAGUAAUAUUAUUGAGGAACAGUUGAUGGAUAGAAAGCUUAAAUAUAGGAAUGCGUCAUAUUCCAAAUUAUAUUUAGAUAUUUUCUGAAGCUCAUUUUUUUCGGAGCAUGCAGAAGUGGAUGUAUGGUUCUGAUUUUAAAACUGAUGGAAGAAGACUUUCUCCAAGUUAUGGGUAAUUUACGAGAGGAAAGGUGCAGCCAAAGAACCUGUGAGGGAGAGAGAGUGUGGAGUUCAUUUUUUGCAACGACUCCAUGUUUGAGUCCACAACAAUUUAAAUUGAUGCGGCCACAUCUUGCAUCAUUUUGUUAAGAUAAUCAUGAUGUAAUCAUCAGAUUCCUUUUUCGUUUUCCCCUCUCAAAUAUGUAAUAUCUUUAAUUGUGAUACUUGCAAGAAUAUAAGGUAUCCUUCAUGGUAGAGAGACCAACAUUGUUUAUAACCUAAUCACAAAACCUGCUUUUCAUUGCCUGCCUUCCUCUGCAUGAUGCCCACUUUUGUCAUUUGUUUGAGUUGUUUGUGCUAUUAUUUAGUUCUAAGGCAUGUGUGACGAAAUGACCUAUGCCUGAUAUUAAUGUAGGAUGUUUGCAUCAUUUUUCUCUUAUGAGUAACAUGACAGCAGAUAAGAGCACCAUCUCAUUUAUUCAUUUUUUUAUUUUCGUCACGUUGGGGUUUCCUCACAUCUUCAUAAAAUUAUUUUAUCAAGAACUGGUAGACUCUAUUAAAAUUUUGUCUUUUAUAACUACCUGAUUAUUAAAUUGUCCUACGUCCUUUUCACUAGAACAAAGAUUCUUAGGGUUGAGUAGUCGUUGGGGGUUAGAAGACCUAGAUUAAACAGAGGGGCUUAUCAAAGACCCGGGUAGUUUGUGGUGAGGUAGGAUGAUAUAUUAUUUUAACUUGGACAUAUUACGUUUUCUGUGUCUCUUGUGGACCUAAGCUGAUUAUGUUGCAAGUAUCUAUUUUGUUGGUGAUAAUUUAUUUUUGUUUCUGUUAACUAUAGAACAUACCUGGAUUAUUGAGCCAUCGAAUUUAAGUUUAUUUUCCGCUCAAAUGCAGACAUUUGCGUGAACUUGCGUCUGACAAAAUAUAAGAUCUGCCUUAUUCCAUCUCCCUUCUUGAUGAAUUAAUUUUAUUGACUUGGAGUAUUACCAGUAUAUCCAUUCUUUAUUUCUUAGAGGCCUUCAGAGAUCGUGCAUAUGAUGUAAUUGGUUGCUCUAGCGUGGAGUUUAAGCAGAUUCUUGUGCAUCUAACAUUCUUGCUGUUGCAUGUUCGUAGCCCUUUUUUUUCCUAUCAGUUCUUACGACUUUCUCUGCUUAAUUUUACGUGGCAAACGUGAAAUUUCUAUAAAAUAAGACAAUAUUAUGGCUUGUAGGAUCUGGCACGUGCUACAUUUGGUCAAAUCACGCAUUGGGCUUGCUAAUAUUUUGUAAAACCCGGCAAUCUUUACAGUGACCAGCUGUUUGCGAUCCUUUCUGGUCCUUGAUUUAUAGUCCUUUCCGCGCCCCCGUUUGAUGUUGGACAGACUUCCUCUGUUUACAGUGAAUGUUUACCAGAACGAAACGGCUCAUUGUUUGUCUCGCAUGCUGCAGAAGGAAACGAGGGCUGAAAGUUUUCCAACAGGGAAUUAGUAAUUGGAAUGUUUGUUGAGUUUGAGGUCUGGUUUGAAGCUUGGAUCAGGGUGGCAGCUCUGUGAAUCAGG